Molecule: ribosomal RNA, 483 nt
Filed under: uncultured bacterium
Lineage: Bacteria
Description: partial 16S ribosomal RNA
Rfam family: Bacterial small subunit ribosomal RNA
Source: RNAcentral
UUGAACGCUGGCGGCAGGCCUAACACAUGCAAGUCGAGCGGAUGAAGGGAGCUUGCUCCUGGAUUCAGCGGCGGACGGGUGAGUAAUGCCUAGGAAUCUGCCUGGUAGUGGGGGAUAACGUCCGGAAACGGGCGCUAAUACCGCAUACGUCCUGAGGGAGAAAGUGGGGGAUCUUCGGACCUCACGCUAUCAGAUGAGCCUAGGUCGGAUUAGCUAGUUGGUGGGGUAAAGGCCUACCAAGGCGACGAUCCGUAACUGGUCUGAGAGGAUGAUCAGUCACACUGGAACUGAGACACGGUCCAGACUCCUACGGGAGGCAGCAGUGGGGAAUAUUGGACAAUGGGCGAAAGCCUGGAACAGCCAUACCGCGUGUGUGAAGAAGGUCUUCGGAUUGUAAAGCACUUUAAGUUGGGAGGAAGGGCAGUAAGUUAAUACCUUGCUGUUUUGACGUUACCAACAGAAUAAGCACCGGCUAACUUCGUG